This 397-nucleotide ribosomal RNA is filed under the name uncultured eukaryote. RNAcentral describes it as "SSU rRNA". It matches the Rfam family "Eukaryotic small subunit ribosomal RNA", at positions 82 to 482 of the family's 1831-position model. The record is from RNAcentral.
UGAAACUGCGAAUGGCUCAUUAAAUCAGUUAUCGUUUAUUUGAUAGUACCUUACUACUUGGAUAACCGUGGUAAUUCUAGAGCUAAUACAUGCUAAAAACCCCGACUUCGGAAGGGGUGUAUUUAUUAGAUAAAAAACCAAUGCCCUUCGGGGCUCCUUGGUGAUUCAUAAUAACUUAACGAAUCGCAUAGCCUUGUGCUGGCGAUGGUUCAUUCAGAUUUCUGCCCUAUCAACUUUCGAUUGUAUGGUAUUGGCUUACAAUGGUUUCAACGGGUAACGGGGAAUUAGGGUUCUAUUCCGGAGAGGGAGCCUGAGAAACGGCUACCACAUCCAAGGAAGGCAGCAGGCGCGCAAAUUACCCAAUCCCGACACGGGGAGGUAGUGACAAUAAAUACUG